This 23-nucleotide microRNA is filed under the name Magallana gigas (Pacific oyster). Its description in RNAcentral is "Mgi-Mir-184-P13b_5p* (star (passenger))". Lineage: Eukaryota; Metazoa; Mollusca; Bivalvia; Ostreida; Ostreidae. The record is from RNAcentral.
CCUUGUCACACAUCCGUCACAGU